AUGCUCUCAUCACGCAACGAACUCUCACGCUUUCUCUCCACCGUAAUAACCUCAUUCUUUUUCAUCCAUCACGGUAACGACUUCACUCUCGCUCUUCUCCAUCCAUUGUCGUUUCUCCUCCGACGGAGACAUUGCCAGAGAAGACGGUUGGGCCGCCAUCGGUGCACUCCCCUUUUCAUUUCCAAAUCCUUGAACCUUAGGCAUGUCUUCAUGUUACUUGCCCAUCCAAUCUCGUUUCUGGCCAAUGUUCAUGAAGUUCUCUGA
Non-coding RNA from Vicia faba (fava bean), 264 nucleotides. NCBI's taxonomy places the organism in Eukaryota, Viridiplantae, Streptophyta, Magnoliopsida, Fabales, Fabaceae. The record is from the annotation of a GenBank genome assembly.